RNAcentral lists this ribosomal RNA (118 nucleotides) under Pteropus vampyrus (large flying fox). Lineage: Eukaryota; Metazoa; Chordata; Mammalia; Chiroptera; Pteropodidae. The record is from RNAcentral.
GCCCGUGGCCACGCCGCGCUGAACGAGCCCCAUCCCGCCUGACCUCGGAAGCUGAGCAGGGCCGGGCCCGCUCGGGACUCGGAUGCGAGGCCACCUAGAAGCCCAGGUGCCGUGGGUG